UCCAGACUCCUACGGGAGGCAGCAGUGGGGGAUAUUGCACAAUGGGGGGAACCCUGAUGCAGCGACGCCGCGUGGGUGAAGGAGCGUUUCGGCGCGUAAAGCCCUAUCGGCAGGGAAGAAGGAGGACGGUACCUGACUAAGAAGCCCCGGCUAACUACGUGCCAGCAGCCGCGGUAAUACGUAGGGGGCAAGCGUUAUCCGGAUUUACUGGGUGUAAAGGGGGCGCAGACGGCAGCGCAAGCCAGGAGUGAAAGCCCGGGGCCCAACCCCGGGACUGCUCUUGGAACUGCGUGGCUGGAGUGCAGGAGGGGCAGGCGGAAUUCCUGGUGUAGCGGUGAAAUGCGUAGAUAUCGGGAGGAACACCGGUGGCGAAGGCGGCCUGCUGGACUGCAACUGACGUUGAGGCCCGAAAGCGUGGGGAGCAAACAGGAUUAGAUACCCGCGUAC
Molecule: ribosomal RNA, 447 nt
Filed under: uncultured bacterium
Lineage: Bacteria
Description: partial 16S ribosomal RNA
Rfam family: Bacterial small subunit ribosomal RNA
Source: RNAcentral